This 536-nucleotide ribosomal RNA is filed under the name uncultured Gemmatimonadota bacterium. RNAcentral describes it as "bacterial SSU rRNA". It matches the Rfam family "Bacterial small subunit ribosomal RNA", at positions 8 to 522 of the family's 1533-position model. Lineage: Bacteria; Pseudomonadati; Gemmatimonadota. The record is from RNAcentral.
AGAGUUUGAUCAUGGCUCAGGACGAACGCUGGCGGCGUGCCUAACACAUGCAAGUCGAACGAGGCCACUCCUUCGGGAGUGAGUCGAGUGGCGGACGGGUGAGUAACACGUGAGCAAUCUACCCUUGUGCGGGGGAUAACCCGGGGAAACCCGGGCUAAUACCGCAUGGUCAAGAGAUCCGCAUGGAUCUUUUGGGAAACGUGGCCUCUUAACAAUGCUACGGCGCAGGGAGGAGCUCACGGGCUAUCAGCUAGUUGGUGAGGUCAAGGCUCACCAAGGCUACGACGGCUACGGGGUCUGAGAGGACGACCCCGCACAUUGGAACUGAGACACGGUCCAGACUCCUACGGGAGGCAGCAGUGGGGAAUAUUGGGCAAUGGCCGAAAGGCUGACCCAGCGACGCCGCGUGCGGGAGGAAGCCCUUCGGGGUGUAAACCGCUGUCGGGGGGGACGAAAGAGCUGGAGGCUAAUACCCUCCAGCAGUGACGGUACCCUCAAAGGAAGCACCGGCUAACUCUGUGCCAGCAGCCGCGGUA